GUUAUAAGAAAAUAUUGAUUAUUUAAUAUCAAUGGAUAAACCAUGACGGAUUGUUACAUAGGAUUUUGAAAUUUGAAAUUUUAACAAGUAGGAUAAGGUAUACCACAAGUCGCUAAAACUUUGUGAGCAUUUUCAGAUGUAACAUACUGAGAAAACAAUGGAUUUUGUAUGUAACCACACAAACACGACUCUUGUUCUUUCAGUUUUCCGCAGCAUUCAGCGGACGGUUGACUUCCGGUUUGUAAUGCUGGUAUGCAUGUCAUAAGUUCUGUCGGGAUGCAUGCCACUUUCUCUUCAAAGACUGCUUUGGUCGGAGCUAAAGCCGACAGAAGGACUAUCACAAAUGCGAUGCAUACUACUCCUGUGAACUUCAUGUUGAUUAUUGGGUUCCAACACAUGUUUUGUAAGCUUGGCGACUCUUCAACCUUAGUUCUAGUUUUUUUUCUGAGAAAUGUUUGAGAAGUUGAUUUUGAGGUUUUGAUAGUCAAGCUAUUAUAUAGAUGGAUGUUGGAGUAAUAUUUGUAAGAGGCUGACGUUUUGAGGUAGAGUAUCUUGAAGUUUUGACUGUAAGCUUUUCGUAUCUAUGUAAGAUAUGUUACUUUGGUAAUUAUUAUAAGAUAUGUAUAUCCAUACAUCCAGAUCUUGAUACAUGUUAGCAAUUCUUUUUUUUUUGGUCAAAGCAAUUCUAUAAAAGAAAACUACUUAAUAGGAAAAUAUCAAAAUUUGCAAGGAAUCUCAUAUAAUAUUUAACUAGUAAAGAAUGAAAAUAUAUGUUCAUAAUAAACCAUCAAUGCAUAGAUUAUCUAUAGGUUUUUUGAAAAUUUACAGCACUAAUUUCCCUAAAAAAUUGAUAUGCAAAUGAUUUGUAGUUAUCCAGAAAGUUAACAAAACAAACAAAAAGUAGAAUAUAUCUAUAACUAUUGUGACUAGAAAUUUAAUAUGCAAAUAAUUUAUAGUUAUCCAGAAAGUUAACAAAACAAACAAAAAGUAGAGUAUACCUGUCACUAUUGUGAUAAUUUUCCAAAAUUAAAUAUAAAAACAGUUGUCAAUAUUUUGUAAAUAGAAAAUUAAAUUAAACAUAUGAAAUCUAAAUAAAAUGAUAGUGCAAAACAAAACAAAAACAAGGAAAAGUAAUAAUACGAAUUUGUCCACAAGGAAAAAAAUAUGAACUGACUCUAACAAUGAUUAUGUAAACAAAUAGAUAUUAUUUGUAUAGUUUUUUAUCAUUCUAUGUGAUACUUUGAUUGAUCAUUUCACAACAAUUUUUUACGUCAGGUAGAAUACUUUCGCUAUGUUUGUGAAACGGUCCGGAAAGAUGGGAAUUUGAAACUCACUGCUAAAAAUAAAAUCCAUGAGUGAGAUUCUUUGAAGAUAUUGAAAUGUGUUCCAUAUGAUUCCUGAAGAAGACUUAGCUCCUUCCACCAUGUUGUUAAAUACCCGGUAAGGCCUCCGGUUCAUUCGUUUCCUUUCUUUUAUGUCUUCUAUUUUUACUCCUUUAACUUCUCUUUUCAGACUUUUGAGUGUAUUUUUGUGGACCCCGACAAAGAGGUAUAACAGACGAUAGUAUAACACUUUUUUUUUGUGACACGUUUCAUUAAAUAUAAGAAGAAGCUGGCCUCAGGCCCAAGUCAGCCCGUUAACGGGUCCAUUACAGAGAUAAACGGAGAGUCUUUUUUGCCAGAAGAUCGGCAUCAAUGUUUUGUAAACGAGGGAGAUGAGAAAACGAUAUCUCGACGAAAGCAGAGGUCAUCUGUUGGAUAUUCUUAACGAUACCAAAGAUUUCUGAUACCUGCGUGUCGUUGUUGAUGGCUCGAACGAGCGUUGAAUUGUCAGAGAACAUCUUGAGGUGUUUAAACUCACUGUUCACCGCUGAGAGGAUUGCAGAGCGAAGGGCGAGGGCUUCAGCUAUUAACGGAGAUCCGACGAAGUCCUGAGUCCUGGAUCCUUGAUUGAUCAUACUUCCUGNNNNNNNNNNNNNNNNNNNNNNNNNNNNNNNNNNNNNNNNNNNNNNNNNNNNNNNNNNNNNNNNNNNNNNNNNNNNNNNNNNNNCUGCUGAAUCUGUGAAAUUCCAUGCGAAUCCUGCUCGAUAUAAUCUACUGUCAAAAGCCGCAUCUGAUUUGCCGAUCGUUAGCUUCGCUGGCACUAUCGGAGCACGCGGUGUCCUGUGAAGGCGAGGUAGAGUGUUGUUUGUAGCUUUAUCUUUGUCUUGUGCCAUAUUCCAUUCUCGAGCUAACCUGAUUCCUUUGGCUGCUACUUCCAUAGGUGAUAAUGUUCUGUUCUCAAAGAUUGCAAGGUUUCGAGCCGUCCAAAUUGCCCAGCAGAUCCAUGGAAGGAUGUUAUUUGACACUCCUGUUGGUGGGAGACAGAUUGCUUGUCGAAAAGCCACAAUUGCGUCUCGGAAGCUGCUCCCUGUAGCUAGGUGAACUACAUGUUUGAGAGGGAUCAUGUUCCAUGCCUUUUGUGCGAAAGGACAGUGAAAGAAGGUAUGCAUCGCUGAUUCAAUCCCUUUGCAUUUAUGGCACAACGCAUCAUCUCGGAUUCCUCUUUGUUGUAAUUGUUCUCCAAAGGGUAAUGCUCUCUGGAUCACUGACCAAAUGAAUAUCCUCAUCUUUGGUGAGCAGGGUGCGGACCAGACAUCCUUUAUCCAAUCAAAAGGUCCUUGGUUUGGUAGUCUUUGAUCGUUCUUCCUCAUCGAGGCCACAUAGUAUCCUGAUCUCGUUGAGUAUGUACCUGAAGGGAGAGGCUGCCAAAUGUAUAUAUCUUCCGUUUUGGAGAGGCUCGGUUGUAGCAGUUGUAUCUCCAUUGCAACAUGAGGUAGGAGUUCUUCGAUCCUUCUUUUAUUCCAGGUCAUUUCCGUUGUCAAUAGAUCAGAGACUGUCAGGUCAAGUGCUUCUUUCGGAAUGGGCCCGUAUGGUUUGAUGUGUUUCUUUGUAGAAAUCCAUGAAUCUUUCCAGAGUUUUGUUGUCUGCCCAUUUCCUAUAGCUUUCCCUAGGUUCUCCUUUAGAAGGUCCCUUCCAUGUAAGAUGCUUCUCCAACCAUGAGAGCAUGUAGCUGGAACCAUAGCAUCUAAGAAGUGUUUUUUGUGACAAUAUUUCCCUAGGAGAAUGCGGGCCAAGAGACUAUCUGGUUUGGUUAGGAUUCUCCAAGCCUGUUUAGCUAGUAAUGCCUGAUUGAAUAGUUGUAUGUCCCUUAGGCCAAGUCCACCUCCUGCUUUUGGUUUUGUUAGGGUUUCCCAAGCCACCCAGCACAUUUUUCUACUUCCAUCGGGAGAAUCCCACCAAAAUCUUGUAAGGACUGAUUGGAUUCUUUUACAUAGACUGACAAGUAGCUCGAAACACGACAUGGAGUAAGUUGGAACAGCAGUAAGGACUGCUUUCAGCAUUGUCAAUUUUCCGGCUUUGGAGAGACGUCUCGUGGAUAAGCUUUGUGCUCGUUGCCUUAUUCUAUCAACAAGGCUAGUGAAGAGAUCUUUCUUUUUCCUCCCAAAGUGUUCAGGUAACCCCAAGUAUUUACCUGAGCCUCCUUCGUUGUUAAUGCCUAAGUGGUCUUUGACAUUCCUCUUUAUUUCCUCUGGAGUUUUAGAAGAGAAGGUGAUCGAGGAUUUAGCUGCAUUGAUCAUCUGUCCAGAGGCUUUCUCAUACUCCCAGAGGAUGGUUUUCAGCUUCGUGUAGCAUGAUUUUGACGUUUGACAGAAGAACAUGGUUUCGUCUGCAAAGAGUAAAUGAUUUACUCUUGGACAGUUCCUCGCCACUCUCACUCCUUGCAAGGUACCUUCUCUCUCUCCUUUCUGACAUAAUCCUGAAAGAACUUGGCCACAUAGGAUAAAUAGGUAUGAGGAGAGUGGAUCUCCCUGUCGAAUUCUCCUCUUAGGUAUCACAGAACCAUAAGCAGAGUCGUUAAUUAGAUAGGAAUAGGAUACAGUGGUCACGCAUUGCAUGAUCAGAGUGAUCCAUUUGUCGUGAAACCCUAACCUCUUCAGUACUUGUGAGAUGAACCGCCAUUCUACUCUGUCGUAGGCUUUAGACAUGUCUGUUUUGAUGGCCAUUGUGCAUCUCUUUGUUGCUUGUGAUGUUUUCAAAUAGUGAAGUACCUCAUGCGUUAUUAGAACAUUGUCUGAGAUAGCCCUUCAUGGGAUAAAAGCUGACUGGUUCUCCGAUAUGAUCAAGUGUAGAACUGAUUUCAACCUUAGAGCAAGUAGCUUAGAGAUUAUCUUGAAGAACACGUUGCAUAGCGCUAUUGGCCUGUAAUCAGAGACUCUCUUUGCCCCAAUGAUUUUUGGAAUUAGUCUAACAUGUGUCACGUUUUGUGAAGGUCUGAGCUGUCCUGAAGCAAAGAAGAGUUGGAUUUCACGCACUACCUCAGGUCCUACAACUUCCCAAUUUGCUUGGAAGAAACUGGCUGAGAAACCGUCAGGUCCAGGUGCUUUAUCAGGGUGGAUUGUGAAGAUUGCUUCUCUUAUCUCUGAUGGUGUGGAAUCCUUAAUGAGUUCUUCAUUAAUUUCAGGUGACACACAUGGAGAUAGAGCUUCCUCGAUCGUAUGAAGCCCAUCGUAAUCAGAGGAGAUGAAGAGCUGGUUAUAGAACUGACAAAUAACCUUUGCGAUUUGUUCUUCCUCAAAAUGAGGUACCUCCAUGUCAUCUUCUAUUACGGUCAUUCUGUUCUUUGCUUUCCUUGCCUUAGUAGUAGCAUGGAAAUAGCCCGUAUUGGAGUCUCCCAGAGUUAACCAUAACUGUUUGCUUCUUUGUUUCCAAUACUCCUCUUCCUUUAUAUAGGUUUGUAGCAAACUCAUAUUAAGUUGAUGUAUCAGAUGAUUGUUCGGAAUGGGGCUUGUCAUCGCAGCAUCUAGUUGAUCUCGGAGGAGAACCAAGGUUUUUCUGCUAUUUUCCUGGAACGCUUUGCUCCACUUACAGAUUUCUCUUCGACAAAGGCCUAGACGGUCCUCAACAUCAAGAUACGGGUUUGACUCCCAAACUUGUUGGAUAAGUGUUUUGAUCUCAGCAUUGUCUCUUAGCCUUCUGUCGAAUCUAAAAAUCUUCUUUCCUUUUUUCCUUGUUGUAUCCAGGAAAGAUAUGAGGGGACGAUGAUCAGAACCUUCGAACAUAAGGUACGUAUUGGCAUCGACACGACGGGAAUUUGUCUAUCCACUCACUGUUGCUAAUUGCUCUAUCCAAACGGCAUUGUACCACAUGUGAGUUCCUGUUCCCUCUCCAAGAUAGGAAAUUCCCAUAAUGUUUAAUAUUGAAAAGAUCAUUUUGUGAGAGAAAGGAUCUAAAUGCGCAGAAUGUUCCUUCUGCUCUCUCCGGACCUCAUGAUUUUUCACUGUUGUCAGUGAUUUCGUUGAAGUCUCCGGUUAAAAACCACGAUAGUAUAACACUAUAACUGUAAAGAUUGGUUUGUUAUAAGGUUGGAUUCAAACUUUUUCUCAGUUUAUAUAUGUUUUAUUUGUUUCAGGACCAGUCUCUCUAGGUGAUGGUAAGGUUUUACUCCUUUAACUUUUUCUCAGUAAUGGUAAGGUUGAUCGAGAGGUGGAGGAGUCUUUCCAUUCUAAGAGAACUUCGGACGCCAUUUUUUUCCCCUCCUUCCAAAUGAAGAAGGCAACGAGAGAGCAAAGACCAGCUUUAUCAUUAAUCGUUUUUUUCUUCGUAUUAAGGUUUCUCUUUGCUUGUGAUUCACGGAAGUAUCUCUUUGCUUUUAUUCAUGUGUUGUUCCUGGACCGGUUCUUGUUCUCUUUGUUCAGCUUUUAAGGUUUCUUUAUUGAAAUAAAUAAAACAUUUACAAGUUGACAAAUUCGUACAAUCUAUCGUGUACUAACUCACAAGCCCUGCCUACCAACGGAUUCAAAAUCCUAUACCCAUACCAUCCUCAUGAUGGGAUAGGUUCGUAGGUUUGGUUUAGUAUGCAUGCAUGUCCGUUUAACUUUUCUAUUUAAAACGAACUAUAUUAUAAAAAUAAUAUUAUAUCGACUAUUAAUUUAAUCAAUGGGUAAACCAUGCCACAUUGUUACAUCUGAUGUUAAUUUGUAUAUAUAGGAUACGGUAUACCACAAGCCGCUAAGACCUUUUGAACAUUUGCGGAUGAAACAUACGGAGGAAACAAUCGUUUAUUUAUGUAUUUACACAAACACGACUCUUGUUCUUUCAGUUUUCCGCAGCAUUCAGCAGACGGUUGACUUCCGGUUUGUCCUGCUGGUAUGCAUGGUGUAAGUUCUGUCGGGUUGCUUGCCACUUUCUCUUCUAAGACGUAUUGCUUUGGUCAGAGGCCGACACAAGGACUAUCACAAACGCGGUGCAUACUACUCCUGUGAACUUCAUGAUUUGUAAACUUUGCGACUUUCUCAAACUAAUUCUAGUUAUUAUUAUUUGUUUGAAGAAUGUUUUGAGAUGUUGUUUUUGAGGUGUUGAUAGUUGUUGUUCAAAAAAAGGGGGGUUGAUAGUUAAGCGUAGAUGGAGGCAAUGGGUAAACACAAUCUAUCAUAGACUAACUCACAACCUCGCCUAUUAACGGAUUUAAACUUCAAAACCAUACCAUCCGCAUGAUGGGUUUGGUUUAGCAUCCAUGCAUGUCCCUUUUGACAUUUUUUAUUUAAAACGAUCUAUACUAGAAAAAUGAUAUUAUAUUUGAUUAUAUUACAAGAAAAAAUGAUAUUUUAUUUGAUUAUUUAAUCAAUGGCGGUAAACCAUGACACAUUGUUACAUAGGAUUUUGAAAUUUGAAAUUUUAACAAGUAGGAUAAGGGAUACCACAAGUCGCUAAAACUUUGUGAGCAUUUUCAGAUGUAACAUACUGAGAAAACAAUGGGUUUUGUAUGUAACCACACAAACACGACUCUUGUUCUUUCAGUUUUCCGCAGCAUUCAGCGGACGGUUGACUUCCAGUUUGUAAUGCUGGUAUGCAUGUCAUAAGUUCUGUCGGGAUGCAUGCCACUUUCUCUUCCAAGUAUGCUUUGGUCGGAGCUAAAGCCGACACAAGGACUAUCAUAAACGCGAUGCAUACUACUUCUGUGAACCUCAUGUUUUGUAAGCUUAGCGACCUUUUCAACCAAAUUCUAGUUAUUAUUAUUUGUUUGAAGAAAGUGUGAGAUGUUGUUUUUGAGGUCUUGAUAGUUAAGCUACUUAUAUAGGUGGAGGCUGGAGUAAUAUUGAGGCUGACGUUUUAGGUAGUGU
This 7162-nucleotide long non-coding RNA is filed under the name Brassica napus (rape). Its description in RNAcentral is "long non-coding RNA (BNAP_LNC026945)". Lineage: Eukaryota; Viridiplantae; Streptophyta; Magnoliopsida; Brassicales; Brassicaceae. The record is from RNAcentral.